Molecule: ribosomal RNA, 1242 nt
Filed under: metagenome
Description: bacterial LSU rRNA
Rfam family: Bacterial large subunit ribosomal RNA
Source: RNAcentral
UGAAUACGAGAUGCUACGGCGUCGAAGCAGUCUAUGUCAUACUUCCAAGAAAAGCUUGCACUGUCAUAAACAAAUAAUGCCUGUACCAUAACCGACACAGGUGGGUAGGUAGAGUAUACUAAGGGGCGCGAGAUAACUCUCUCUAAGGAACUCGGCAAAAUGACUCCGUAACUUCGGGAGAAGGAGUGCCUUAUUUUAUAAGGUUGCAAUAACAAGAUCCAAGCAACUGUUUACCAAAAACACAGGUCUCCGCUAAGUCGUAAGACGAUGUAUGGGGGCUGACGCCUGCCCAGUGCCAGAAGGUUAAAGAAGUUGGUUAGCAUCCGCGAAGCUGAUAACUGAAGCCCUGGUGAACGGCGGCCGUAACAAUAACGGUCCUAAGGUAGCGAAAUUCCUUGUCGGGUAAGUUCCGACCCGCACGAAAGGCGUAAUGAUUUGGAUACUGUCUCAGAGAGGGGCUCGGUGAAAUAGACUUGUCUGUGAAGAUGCGGACUACCUGCACCAGGACAGAAAGACCCUAUGAAGCUUUACUGUAACUUGAAAUUGAAAUUGGACUUUACUUGCGCAGUAUAGGUGGGAGGCGUUGAGAAUAUUCUUGCGGGAAUGUUGGAGCCAUCAGUGAGAUACCACUCUUGUAAUGUUAGAUUUCUAACUUUGUAUCAUUAUCUGGUCAAAGGACAGUUUCAGGCGGGCAGUUUGACUGGGGCGGUCGCCUCCCAAACGGUAACGGAGGCGCACAAAGGUUUCCUCUGAACGGGUAGAAAUCGUAUCUAGAGUGUAAAGGCAUAAGGAAGCUUGACUGUGAGACCUACAAGUCGAGCAGGGACGAAAGUCGGUCUUAGUGAUCUGACGGUGCUGAGUGGAAAGGCCGUCACUCAACGGAUAAAAGUUACUCUAGGAUAACAGGCUGAUCUCCCCCAAGAGUUCACAUCGACGGGGAGGUUUGGCACCUCGAUGUCGGCUCAUCGCAUCCUGGGGCGGUAGUACGUCCCAAGGGUUGGGCUGUUCGCCCAUGAAAGCGGUACGCGAGCUGGGUUCAGAACGUCGUGAGACAGUUCGGUCCAUAUCCGGUGUAGGCGUUAGAAUAUUGAGAGGAGCCUUCUUUAGUACGAGAGGACCGAGAAGGACAUACCUCUGGUGUACCAGUUAUCGUGCCAACGGUAAACGCUGGGUAGCUAUGUAUGGAGUGGAUAACCGCUGAAAGCAUCUAAGUGGGAAGCCCACCUCAAGAUAAGUAUUCUC